CCAUGAUCAAGAGUUGCAUGAAACAGUUGGUCGGAAGAAUGGAUCAAGAAGAACAGUGUCAUUUUACCGCGCUGCUAGUGGAUCAAGUCAAUUAAGUGGAGGAAGCAAGAGCAUCCUCGCAUAGGAGAUGGAGCAUAAUGUAAAGAUCCCACGACUAAGGGCACAACGGACUUUUCGAAAGGAAGGUUGACCUAGGGAUCAGAGCCUCAAGCCUUCUUAUAAAUAGAGAUGGGAAGGAAGAGGGAGGCAGCUCUGGACAAUCAGCUCUCUCCUAGAGUUGAAUCCGAAAGCUCACUACACUCCAGAUUUUCCUUUCCGUUCAAGCACACUUUGUUCCGGGGUUUUAAUUUGUGGUUGUGGUGGUUAUUUUACUUAACUUGAAGUUGUGUAACACCGUCCCAAGCGAGGGCGAAGAUACAAUCUUUUUAAUUUCUGUUUUGCUACAAUUUGGUUUAAGUUUGUUGUUGUUUUGCUGAAUCUAGUUGGAGCUGUGACUUCAAUGUUUUCCCUGAUUAGUUAUGUGAGUUUAAGAAUCGUCUUGCUUAUGUGCCAUGGUUUGAUUUGUGAAUGCGUUUGGAAGUGAUUAGUUGCUUAGGGUCGGCAGUUGUGGUUGUGUUUUGGAUCUGAGUUGUUGAUGUGCGAAGGGUUUUGUGCAUGAAGGUUUUUGGAACGUUUCGAUCUGGUAGAUCAACAUAGUAGGAAACGAAUCUGAGUUUGUUAGCAAAGAACGGUUGUAGAUGCGAGUUUAAUUUAGUCUUCAUGUCGUAUAUCUGGGAGUUAUCUUUUCUAUUUCUGCAUGAUCAUGGCUUAGUCAGUUUCCUACGUGGUUACAGUCGAUCCAUUAGUGUAGAUCUAUGGUUUUAAGUUGAUUAUGUUCAGUUCACGUAGUUACCCGUUGUUCGUAGUUUAGCAAUACUCGAGAAUUUGGUUUAUGCUCAGUUUAUGUGCUGAUUACUUGAAGAAGAUGAAGUUGUUAUCAAAGUUUACUUUACCGUAUGUUUUACAGGAACUGACACCCACUUACUUUUACUGUUGUUUGGCUAUUUCAGGAAAGUCGCAGUUUGAGUUUUUCAGUUUGAACCAGUUGAUUAGUUAGAGUUUGCAGGCCAUAGUUAAGUUUAGCAAAUGGAUCCAUUUAGUUAGUCUAGCUCCUCAGUUCACCCAGUCAAGUAGUUUAACUUAACUCACUUCAAAUGCGUGGCAACAGCCAUUCCCAAAUUAUCCACAACAAAUGCAGAACACCCCGUCUAUGUGGGAUUCGACCCUUACUUCCAUUUACUAAUUCAUAGUAUUGUGGGUUAAGGUCUUGAAAGCCCUGAUUCCUGUCUGCGCACCCAAAACGACACAUUAGUUAGGUUUAGUGAGUGACUUGAUCAGUUGAGAUUCUACCACUUGAGCCGUCGGCGAGUUCUCGCAUAUCAAAGCUAAGGCAUAUCAGUUGGAUCAGCCAAGCGUGUCGACUUGAUCAAUUCACGUCAAACAACUAACAACUCAAUUUGUGCAUAAAGGAACAUCAGGAGAAUCUGAAGCUUUCAGUGGGAUUCUUUGCAGGUAUGAUGGGGGAUUCACAAUGUGGUACCGGAGUUCGUAUGAAAGGAAUACAAGCAUUUGAAGGAAACUCAAGCUCUCCUCACCGGAAAUUUCGUAAGGGUGAUCGAACUCGGAGGAUAUGGACAGUGAGGGAAGAGGAAAUCUUGGCUGCAUCAAUGCUCGAGCUCCUUGCUAGAGGAUGGAAAUCAGUCAACGGAUUUCGCGCAGGGUAUUCGGGAAAGAUUGAGGAUAGUCUGCGUAAGGAAUUCCUGAACACCGACCUCAAAGGCACGCUCCAUAUCACAUCCAAAAUAUAUUAGUGUGGAAGAAUAACUACACGAGUUUGACAAAAUUAUUAGUGUGGAGUGGCAUGGGCUUCAAUUCGGAUAAACAGUACAUGAUAGAAUGCGAUGAUGACCAAUGGGAGGCAAUUGUCCAGGCUGAUAAGGACACGAAAUUCAUGUGGACAAAGCCGUGGCCAUUAUGGGAAACAUGGAAGUCCAUCUUCAACAAAGAUCGUGCGAGCGGUGGAGGUGCUGAACAAGUUGCCGAUGCGGCGGAUUAGGUGCGUUCUAACCUCCAAGGCAGUAGUGAAGUCAAUGAAAAUGACUACCAUCCAAUCUUCGAGGAUGAAGAGCCCAACAAUGUGGUUCCAAUGUCACAGCACGUAGUGAAUGAAGACAACAACUCGGGUACGGGGGUAGACAAACAAACUUCCACCAACAAGUCUGGCUCUAGUAAGAAACGCAAGCACGAAGGUCCUGAUGCAACCCUUAUGGAAUUUCUCGCCAAUCUCAACUCCGAGACUAAGUCUCGUUUGGAUGUGAGUCUAGGAUCGGCCAUGAAUUUGACAUUGUCUCUGCUAUGCAUGUGGUUGCUCGUCAUGCACUCUACGCCAUGUAAAUAGGAGAGGGUGUGCUGCUAUUGCUAUCACACACCGAAUGUCAUCGACAUAUAUAGACCCCAUACAAGUUCAGACAAUACCAGCACCUAAUAUUCAUAUGUUCGUGACAAACAAAUCAACAACCGUCGACUGACAUACCCCAUACAUCAGGACAAAACACGGUGCUAAACCUAUUACAAUACCAGGGAUUUUUCUACAACACCCAUAACGUAGGUCCGUGAAAAUUAGAUAAAAUUCUAUGGCAUUACUAAAUAUGCUACCAUAGCAAUGAUCAGGACAUACUCAUCCCCAAUAACUUAGUUAGAAAUUGGGUCGCCUGGCUAUGU
Long non-coding RNA from Salvia splendens (bonfire salvia), 2760 nucleotides. RefSeq lists it as uncharacterized. The transcript is spliced from 3 exons. Lineage: Eukaryota; Viridiplantae; Streptophyta; Magnoliopsida; Lamiales; Lamiaceae. The record is from RefSeq and is a predicted model, not a curated record.